UGAUUGUUGCCCCUUCCAGGGUGUCCCUUGCCUUGUGCCCCAAGUUUCCUGGGAUAGGCUCCAGGCUCCCCACGGCCCUGUGUAGGAUAAGCAGUAUGUAAAAUGGAUGGAUAGAUCUAACGUAUUUCAGGGUGAAGGUUUUUUUUUAUAAGGUGUAAGUGGGAAAUUAGAUUCAUAGACGUGAGACUGAGCUGCAAUGGCCAGAGAUUGAGAGCGCACACACAAACACACACACAUACACACACACAGAUCUGCAGGGACGAGGGAAAAUUGUAGGCUUAGCUUUGUUCUGGACUCUGGCUGCUAAACGCUAUCAAGACGUCACUUAAAAGCACAGGGUUUAGCAAGCAGAGCUGGAUAACCACUGAGUCUCGGACUAUGCUGUUGUGUAAUUCUUUGUCUUGAAAAUGAGCACACUUCAAUAUCCUGACUUUGUAUUGUGCAAUACCUUUGGAUCAGCAAAUAGACAUGCUAGUCCCUUGGUGUACUGCGACCUUUUUGAUGCUCCCCAUUGCUGAUGUAAUUAAUCACUAAAUCAAAACACCUGCACUCAUGGUAAAAAAAAAAGUGUGGAGCACAGCAGGUGCUGAGUACAGAGUAAUCAGUAAAUACUCUUCACUUCCUCUUGCAGCACACAUUCGCUGUGUAGUGUUUCCACUGCGUGUGCAACGGGAAUCUCUCCUCCAUGGCGAGUGUGAGAGCUGUGAGCUCUUCGAGAGGUGCUACUUUGUUGCUAAAAAUAUGAGGCGAGAUCACAGCUUAGAUGCUGAUGAUCAUGUGGGAGAAGUUCCUCACCAGCCUGCAGGGUUACAGGAAAAAACACACACACACACACACACACACAGUAUACUGGAUGAGAUGGUGCUGUGUGUGUGUGACCUGUGUACCUUCUGAGUGGCAAGAUGGGAAAUGUGGCAUGUUUGCAUGUUGGGUCACACUGUUAUACUACUUCAUUAUAAUAUUAUAAAAGCAAACACAGGAGAAGAAAUCUGAGAUUCAGUUCACUAAUAUUCAUCCACAAAAGUGCUGAAAACACAGAACAGCCUCAAAUUCCAUCAAUAAACGUUGAUGCUGAAUACUUAUAUGAAAUUGUUUCCAAUUUCUUCCAUCUGUUCUAAUAUGGGAGUAUUAGAGGAAAAAACAUUGUGAUUUAUCAGUUGACUAAAUCAAUGUAGCGAUUAGAAGUUAAAUAAAACUAAUUAUAUCACAUUGCUGUUAAAUUCUUGAUUCGGAUUGGCCAGAAGGUUCAUUUCCUAUUUUCUACAGCAGCUCUGCAAUUCAGAUCACAGGUUUAUAUUAAUACACUCAAUCUGAUAUGUUAUCGUUUCUGUACUAAGAUCAUACACAGUAAUUACUGAUGUGUGUUGAAGUUUUCUUUGUGAAGACAUUCGCACCUCUACUGAUGUAAUUCAGCAACUCCCCAUAGACUUCCUUUGUAAAUGAGCUUCAAGUAAACAGGUUUUAUGUGCGUGUAUCCGAACAGGAAAAUGUGUUGAACUGCAGGUUUGCGGUAAUCACAUCUACGCUGCUGAUGAGGAUUUGGAUUGACUAGCAGCUUAAAGACUUUGGAUUUGACUUGUAAGUGACUUGACUCAGAGGUUACUACAUCGAGCAGGGAGGCUCCGUGUGGCACUAAAUCACCAGCAGCAGAAAGAGAUGUGUCUGUCUAUGUGUGUGAGGUCGGUGCGCCGCGCUAAAUAUACAUCAGAGUGACUGUAUGGAUUGCUGUUGUGCAGAAGGUGGGUGACGCCCACACUGUUAUACAAUGGGAGUUACGUAAUUGUGAGAAAUCGCCUACUAGUGUCUCCCCGUUUUUCUUAUUUUUCACUGUUUCUGACAUUCUUGGUUUUCUCUUCCUCCUGUAAAAUGUGUUGUGUUUCAUCCUGGCUGUCAUUGUCUGUGAUGGGCGUAUGUCAUUUUCUCUUUUUAUUUCUUUCUCUGUUUCAAUGAGACAUAUCCAUGUGAGGAAGGAUUUCAAAUCAGUUAUGGAUGGGAGACUCUGGAACAGCGGCGGGAUCAUGAGCUCAUCUGCAUCUACUUUUCAUUCAUUCUUUCCUCCGUGUAUGUACUGUUGCUUUGGAAUUUCUAAUGACAUAAGUAGUGUGACAUGUGGCGUGAUCACCAAAACUGGUUUGAUUAUAUCAGCCAAACCAAAUCUGUAGCAUUUGCAUUGCACUUCAAGCUGAGGCGAGAGCUGAGAUGUACAUGGCCAACAGCUUUAGGCAUUUUGCGUUAUGAUUCCAUGCACAGUCAAUGGGUAUAUGCAGGGUUACAUAAUGUCACAACUGCAAGAUGUCUGACCUUCAUUUUGACUUUGAAAGCUUGAAUAGGUUGUGAAGUGAUGGACAGCAGUCCAUAUGUGGAAAAGUAUUUCAGCAGAACAAACUGAAUACAUGCAGAAAGGUACAUGAAAAAUAUACUGUAACAAAAACCUGAUAAAUGUAUUUUUAAAAAUGUCCACAGUUCAGCAACUAUAUAUAUUUUUUAUAAAUAAGAAGCAGCACAGCUUGAUAUUUAACCAAUCACAUACUUUAUGUAUUUAUUAUUUAGCUCAAGGCAGCCCAUUGGACUAGAAACCAUGUAUAGGGCUAGAGACAUAUGCUCAGAAAUAUAACACAGACAGACAGACUUUCAUAGAUUUUUCAUUAUAUUUUCCUUCUCUGGUCUGAAUAGCCACCUUACGACAUGGAUUGUUUGACGACACAAACAGAAUGUUUAAAAAAAAUAAAAUAAAAUAAAUAAAUAAAAGGUAGACAGAGAAGUGUGUGUUUAUUUGUCUUGCUAGAGGCUGACCGAUAAUGGAUUUUACCAGUACUGAUAACCAAGUUGGGCAGCACCUGCCGAAAACUAAUUCAUCAACCGAUAGUUUUUAAAACUGAUUGAAACUGAAUGAAAACUUAACUCAAAGUAAAAUAUUGCUGAACUGUAUUACAAAAAUAAACAAUACUGACUGUCGCAUGAAAAUGCACGGUCCUUUUUUUAAUGAAAUAAAUUUAUACAUCUUAAUAUAUAUUAACUAUUAAUAAAUAUUAAAGUAAAUAAAAGAUAAACAUCAAAAAUGAACCAAAAAGUAUCACUGCAAAUAACAAAUAAAAAUAGAGACAUCCAAAAUGAAUAAUAAUUAAAUAAAAAAACACACUUCAAAUAACACAACAAAAGUGGUCAGUUUUUAUUUUGCCUCUAGAGGCCGCUGUCGUAUUGUAUAAUAACAGCGGACUCGUCUCAGUCGCUCCCGCUACGGACACAACUGGGAAAAAACUAUCUGUGUGGAUUUUUGCAGAUAAUCGAUAGUUCCAGCAAUCGGUUAUCGGUGUCGAUUAAUCUGCAAAACCAAUCAAUCGGUCGACCUUUACUUUGUGCAUGAAAUUCAGAGCAGACAUCUCAUUUGUUCGUAGUCUGUGG
Ictalurus punctatus (channel catfish) is the source of this 3402-nucleotide long non-coding RNA. The record is from Ensembl. NCBI's taxonomy places the organism in Eukaryota, Metazoa, Chordata, Actinopteri, Siluriformes, Ictaluridae.